ACCAAACACGGUACACUGUUCAUGUCUCACGUUUGACCGUUCGUUUUAUUUGAAAUUUUUUUACGAUUAAUAUUUUUAUUGUUAUUAGAUGAUAAAACAUGAAUAAUCCUUUAUGUGUGACUAACUUAUUUUAAUUUUCUCAUAAAUUUUUCAAAUAAGACGAACGGUCAAACGUUGAACACGGAUUUCUACGGCUGCACUUAUU
This 205-nucleotide microRNA precursor is filed under the name Oryza sativa Indica Group (long-grained rice). RNAcentral describes it as "MIR812 microRNA precursor family". It matches the Rfam family "MIR812 microRNA precursor family". Lineage: Eukaryota; Viridiplantae; Streptophyta; Magnoliopsida; Poales; Poaceae. The record is from Rfam by way of RNAcentral.